CCGGCUCCCUCCGGCCGUCGCCCACCCGCGUCUGUUCCCAUUUCUGCAACCGUGGUUCCCCCUGACUUCUCGUGUGUGUGUUCCUCUCGCGCGCCCUUUUACUUCCUCUGUUUCUUUAACUUCCCCUGUUUUCUUGAUAGUUGAGCCAGCCUUUCCUUCCUCUCCUUUAAAUGCCUCUCCCUUAAAUGGCCGUAAAGAGAAAUAGACCAACUUAAGUUGAUUUUCAUAAGGAUUAUUUUCUUGCUUUAAGGUUUUAUUUUGGGGAGGGGAGUUCAUAGAUAUAAAAUUUCCUCUAGUAAGAGUUGCCUUCCGCUUCCAUAGCUGUUCAGUGAGGGUAGGAGUCUGUGUGUGUGUGUGAAUAGUGAAGAAAAGAGUGUGUGGUGAGCUGUUUAGAAUCAGAAACAGGAGAAAAAUAAUCUAUACAUAAACAAAGAGGUGCUCUAAAUGAUGCCAAACUCAGUUCGAAAUGACAGCGGAGCUGUAGGUUCUGUAAAACUCCGGAAACACGCACUAUUCCCCCUCAGUCCCGGCGCAGGCCUCAGUGAUGCCUUUCCUCAGAGGAUUUGGGGCUUUCCUGGGAUAAACCUGUAGCUUUAGCUGUCCCAGAGGAAGUAAUCACAGGGGCUCUGUGUGAAAUAAAAUAAUGCAUCAGUGUUUCCAGACUACAAGGCCACCCUGUGGGCCUCUCAGUGUGGCAGCACCUGUUCCCAGUUCUGCCAGCGGAUGCUGUUACUCUGGCUCUACACUCGGGGAACCUAAAGCCCGAUGGAAUACUGCUCCAUUCAAGAAUUGCUUCAUAAAGUCAAUUAGAGCUUCAGAUUUACUUGGUUGAAUUUUGUUUUUAACAGGUUUUUUAGAUUCCACAGGUAAGUGACAGCACACAGUAUUUGUCUUUCUCUGACUUUCUUCGCUAGCAUCAUGCCCUCAAGUUUCACCCAACUUGUCACAAACUGCAAAAUUUCCUUCUUUCUCAUGGCUGAAUAGUAUUCCUAGAUAGAUAGAUAGGUAUUGGACAUGAAUAAGAAGAUGUGACAUAUAUGUGUCACAUCUUUAUUCAUUCAUCCAUUGAUGGACACUUAGGUUGUUUGCAUAUCUUGGCUCUUGUGAAUAAUGCUGCAGUGAACAUGGGAGUGCAGAUGUCCUCUCAGAUCCUGAUUUCAAUUCCUUUGGCGAUAUUCCCAGAAGUGGGAUUGCUGGACCAUAUGGCAGUUCUAUUUUUAAUUUUUAGGAACCUCCAUACUGUUUUCCCUGUGGCUCUAUCAAUUUGCGUUCCCACCAACAGUGCACAAGAGUACUCUUUUCUUCACACCCUUGCCAACGCUUGUUAUCUGUGGUCUUGUUUUUGGGGGGGGGAGGAGAGGGGGGAGAAGAUUAGCCCUGAGCUAACAUCUGCUGCCAAUUCUCCUCUUUUUGCUUAGGAAGACUGGCCCUGAGCUAACAUCCGUGCGCAUCUUCUUCUAUUUUAUAUGUGGGACACCUACCAUAGCACGGCUUGCCAAGCAGUGCCAUGUCCGCACCCGGGAUCCAAACUGGCGAACCCCGGGCCACCGAAGUGAAACGUGCGCACUUAACCUCUGUGCCACCAGGCUGGCCCCUUUCUUGUCUUUUUGAUGAUUACCAUUCUAACAGGUGUGAGGUGAUAACUUGUGGUUUUGAUUUGCAUUUCUCUAAAGAUCAAUGAUGUGGAGUGCCUUUUCAUGUGCCUGUUAGCCAUUUAUAUGUUGUCUUUGGGAAAAUGUCUAUUCAGGUGCGCGGCCCAUGUUUAAUCGUGUUUGGGUUUUUUUGCUGUUGAGUUAGAUGAAUUCUUUAUAUAUUUUUUAUAUUAACCCCAUAUCAGUUAUAUGAUUUGUGGAUAUUUUCUACCAUUCUGUAGGUUGCCUUUUCAUUUUGUUGGUUGUUUCCUUUGCUGUCCAGAAGCUUUUUAGUUUGAUGUAGUCCUACUUAUUGAUAUUUUUGCUUUUCUUGGCUGUGCCUUUGGUGUCAUAUCCAGGAAAUCUGUCCCAAGACCAAUGUCAAGGAGCUUUGUCCUGUGUUUUCUUCUAGGAGUUUUAUGGAUCUUAUGUUUAAGUCUUUAAUCCAUUUCAAGUUUAUUUUUGUGAGUGGGGUCCAGUUGCAUUUUUCUGAAUGUGGUUAUCUAGUUUUCCCAAUAAAAGAGAUCUUCAGAGUUUUCAACAUAACAGCCACAACAAAUGUGGUAAUUACGUGAGGUGAAGGAUGUGUUAACUACCCUUAUUGUGGUAAACAUUUCACAAUAUAUAUGUGUAUCAGAUCAUCACAGUGUGCACUUUAAACUUACACAAUGUUAUUUGUCAAUUAUGUCUCAAUAAAGCUGGGGAAAAGAAAGAAAACAAAAAAAGGAUUGUUGAUUUCAGUGACAUUUGGUAGCUGGAUAGGGAAAACAGAAAAAGUGAUACACUCCAUGAUCUUCAAUCCAAACAUUUAUGUUAGGAUAACUUAUCCCAUAAUGUCUGUGUAACGCUGUAAGUCUACCUGAAAUCUACAAUUCAGAGAAACACUAUAAUUCUAUAUUAUUUUUUCCCCCCAAAAUUCUACCUUGUAGGGUGGUGAUUCUUUAACUUUUAUAUCUUGUGCCUUACCAUGAAGUUGGGAACCUGGAUCUCACAACAGUAGAGUUGUUAGUGCUGCCUAAAUAGCUAAGAUAAAUACAGCCAGUGGUUAACACAGGUUAGCAUAAGAGAAACCAUCUUAUAGAGGGGAACUACAUUGGGACUAUAACAAGACUCCCCCUUUUCCUCGUUAGCAAUGCUCUAGUUUGCACGUAGUUUAGAGAAGUACACAUCUGCUUGCUCUGCUAUUUUUGUAGCCUUGGCUUAUACAUAGACCUCCCUGUUCCGAUAAGGCAAUCACUUUGUUCUUUCAGCUUUCCUAGGGAUGUAAUGACCUUCGGGAAAAAAAACCUCUGCUAUCUGUCCCUGGUGAAGAGAGAAAGGGAUGCUCUGUGGUCUCAAGGACUACAGCUCCAGAUGGUCAACGUCCCGAGACCUCCCCUUUUCCAGCCCAUUUGCCCUAUAAAACUGCCUCACAAUUUUGUAGUUUUAAGAUGGUUCUUUAGGACACGAGUCCACCAUCUUCUCCCUUGCUGGCAGGGUGUAAUAAAAAGGCCUUUUCUCUCCUACCACCUUGCCUCCUGACUGUUGGCCUGUCUAGUGGUGAGUAGAGGACCCUCUUUGGGGGUUACAGAAACACAAAGCUUGCUUACCCCAAAGAACUUUUUAUCUAUAGGAUUUUAUUAUUAUUCUUACCUUAUAUAGUGUUUUGAGGACAAAAAAAAAAAGCGAGAGCAUUGUUGGGAGUUUUAUUUUUGUGGCUUAAAAGUAAUGAUCGUAUUAGUCUUUAAAAUGGCAGCAAUAGUGUUGACAUUUUUACUGCUAGAACUGUAAAACAUACAGAUAUGAAUAAUCUCAUCACCAAAAAAGUUGUGCUAAUCAAGUCUUUUAUUGGGAAGCUUGAGGAUACAUUUUACUAACACCUGCAUUCAUGGGACAAAGUUUGAAAGGCAGGCUUGAAGAGCAAGAUUUGCUAACUUUAUCCUGUCCUACAACAAAGUUAGAAGCUCUCACAAUUGACAAGCAGUCUGAACAGAAGCAUUAGCAAGGCUAGUCGGUGGGCUUUAUGUGUUUCGUUGCUCUGAGGCUAUAAUAGAAAACAUCAAAUGGGACAAUAUGUAUGUUAAAAGACUGCUUCAGCUUGUGUGGAAAAACUUUUAUCCAAAGUAGUGUGAACUUCUGUUCUGCAGAUGCCUGGAGUAUUUUUGAAUAAUGAAUUUAUCCAUUUAUGUUGAUUUGUCUUUGACCUUCAUACUCUGUUACGGUUACUACUGCCGCAUAAUAAAUUGAUCCAAAUCUAGCAUCUUGAAACCACCAUUUCAUUGUCUUCACGGAUUUUGUGGGUCAGGACUUCAGACUGGGCACAGCGGGGAUGGUGGCUCUCUCCCCCUCCAGGUCUCAGGUCUCCUCCCUGGGGCUGGGCUGGCUCAGAAGCCAGGACUGCUGACAGGAGCGACUGCACUUGGCUUCUUCAUCUUCUCGGCUUCCUUACAGCUGGUGUUCUCAGGGUCAUCAGACGUUCACGGGGCAGCUCAGGACUCACGGCUUGAGUGUUCUAAUGCAUGAGGCAGAAGCUGCACUGCCUUUUUUUUUUUUUUAAAGAUUUUAUUUUUUUCCUUUUUCUCCCCAAAGCCCCCCAGUACAUAGUUGUAUAUU
Equus caballus (horse) is the source of this 4223-nucleotide long non-coding RNA. NCBI's taxonomy places the organism in Eukaryota, Metazoa, Chordata, Mammalia, Perissodactyla, Equidae. The record is from Ensembl.